UGCUACGGGAGGCAGCAGUGGGGGAUAUUGGACAAUGGGGGGAACCCUGAUCCAGCGACGCCGCGUGAGUGAAGAAGUAUUUCGGUAUGUAAAGCUCUGUCAGCAGGGAAGAAAGCAAUGACGGUACCUGACCAAGAAGCCCCGGCUAACUACGUGCCAGCAGCCGCGGUAAUACGUAGGGGGCAAGCGUUAUCCGGAUUUACUGGGUGUAAAGGGAGCGUAGACGGUGCGCCAAGUCUGGAGUGAAAUGCCGCAGCUUAACUGCGGAACUGCUUUGGAAACUGGCGAACUAGAGUGCGGGAGGG
RNAcentral lists this ribosomal RNA (305 nucleotides) under uncultured bacterium. RNAcentral's name for it is "bacterial SSU rRNA". It matches the Rfam family "Bacterial small subunit ribosomal RNA", at positions 337 to 656 of the family's 1533-position model. The record is from RNAcentral.